RNAcentral lists this ribosomal RNA (475 nucleotides) under uncultured organism. RNAcentral describes it as "partial 16S ribosomal RNA". It matches the Rfam family "Bacterial small subunit ribosomal RNA", at positions 332 to 798 of the family's 1533-position model. The record is from RNAcentral.
UACACUCCUACGGGAGGCAGCAGUGGGGAAUUUUGGACAAUGGGCGAAAGCCUGAUCCAGCAAUGCCGCGUGAGUGAAGAAGGCCUUCGGGUUGUAAAGCUCUUUUGUCAGGGAAGAAACGGUGAGAGCUAAUAUCUCUUGCUAAUGACGGUACCCGAAGAAUAAGCACCGGCUAACUACGUGCCAGCAGCCGCGGUAAUACGUAGGGUGCAAGCGUUAAUCGGAAUUACUGGGCGUAAAGCGUGCGCAGGCGGUUUUGUAAGUCUGAUGUGAAAUCCCCGGGCUCAACCUGGGAAUUGCAUUGGAGACUGCAAGGCUAGAAUCUGGCAGAGGGGGGUAGAAUUCCACGUGUAGCAGUGAAAUGCGUAGAUAUGUGGAGGAACACCGAUGGCGAAGGCAGCCCCCUGGGUCAAGAUUGACGCUCAUGCACGAAAGCGUGGGGAGCAAACAGGAUUAGAAACCCCUGUAGUCCCAU